RNAcentral lists this ribosomal RNA (570 nucleotides) under uncultured bacterium. Its description in RNAcentral is "partial 16S ribosomal RNA". It matches the Rfam family "Bacterial small subunit ribosomal RNA", at positions 355 to 932 of the family's 1533-position model. The record is from RNAcentral.
UAAGGAAUAUUGCUCAAUGGGAGAAAUCCUGAAGCAGCAACGCCGCGUGGAGGAUGAAGGGUUUUUAACUUGUAAACUCCUGUAAAGAAGGAAAAAAUUCCCAUUAGAUGGGAAAUGAUGGUACUUCUGGAGUAAGCCCCGGCUAACUACGUGCCAGCAGCCGCGGUAAUACGUAGGGGGCAAGCGUUGUCCGGAUUUACUGGGUGUAAAGGGUGCUCAGGCGGAUUUGUAAGUCAGAGGUGAAAUCUCACAGCUUAACUGUGAAACUGCCUUUGAUACUGCAAGCCUAGAGUAUGGAAGAGAGUGAUGGAAUAUCUGGUGUAGCAGUGAAAUGCGUAGAUAUCAGAUAGAACACCAAUGGCGAAGGCAGUCACUUGGUCCAUAACUGACGCUAAAGCACGAAAGCGUGGGUAGCAAACAGGAUUAGAUACCUGGUAGUCACGCCCUAAACGAUGAAUACUAGAUGUUGGCUUCGCAUGAAGUCAGUAUCUGAGCUAACGCAUUAAGUAUUCCACCUGGGAAGUACGAUCGCAAGGUUGAAACUUAAAGGAAUUGACGGGGUCAUAGCUG